CGGGACACGUGGUAUCCUGUCUGAAUAUGGGGGGACCAUCCUCCAAGGCUAAAUACUCCUGACUGACCGAUAGUGAACCAGUACCGUGAGGGAAAGGCGAAAAGAACCCCGGCGAGGGGAGUGAAAAAGAACCUGAAACCGUGUACGUACAAGCAGUGGGAGCCUCUUUAUGGGGUGACUGCGUACCUUUUGUAUAAUGGGUCAGCGACUUAUAUUCUGUAGCAAGGUUAACCGAAUAGGGGAGCCGAAGGGAAACCGAGUCUUAACUGGGCGUUAAGUUGCAGGGUAUAGACCCGAAACCCGGUGAUCUAGCCAUGGGCAGGUUGAAGGUUGGGUAACACUAACUGGAGGACCGAACCGACUAAUGUUGAAAAAUUAGCGGAUGACUUGUGGCUGGGGGUGAAAGGCCAAUCAAACCGGGAGAUAGCUGGUUCUCCCCGAAAGCUAUUUAGGUAGCGCCUCGUGAAUUCAUCUCCGGGGGUAGAGCACUGUUUCGGCAAGGGGGUCAUCCCGACUUACCAACCCGAUGCAAACUGCGAAUACCGGAGAAUGUUAUCACGGGAGACACACGGCGGGUGCUAACGUCCGUCGUGAAGAGGGAAACAACCCAGACCGCCAGCUAAGGUCCCAAAGUCAUGGUUAAGUGGGAAACGAUGUGGGAAGGCCCAGACAGCCAGGAUGUUGGCUUAGAAGCAGCCAUCAUUUAAAGAAAGCGUAAUAGCUCACUGGUCGAGUCGGCCUGCGCGGAAGAUGUAACGGGGCUAAACCAUGCAC
RNAcentral lists this ribosomal RNA (774 nucleotides) under Escherichia coli. Its description in RNAcentral is "partial 23S ribosomal RNA". It matches the Rfam family "Bacterial large subunit ribosomal RNA", at positions 418 to 1194 of the family's 2925-position model. RNAcentral also lists the same sequence under 1 other name. Lineage: Bacteria; Pseudomonadati; Pseudomonadota; Gammaproteobacteria; Enterobacterales; Enterobacteriaceae. The record is from RNAcentral.